RNAcentral lists this ribosomal RNA (401 nucleotides) under uncultured bacterium. RNAcentral describes it as "bacterial SSU rRNA". It matches the Rfam family "Bacterial small subunit ribosomal RNA", at positions 359 to 776 of the family's 1533-position model. The record is from RNAcentral.
GAAUAUUGCACAAUGGGCGCCAGCCUGAUGCAGCAACGCCGCGUGGAGGAUGACGGCCUUCGGGUUGUAAACUCCUUUUCUGGGGGACGAGAACGGACGGUACCCCAGGAAUAAGUCUCGGCUAACUACGUGCCAGCAGCCGCGGUAAAACGUAGGAGGCGAGCGUUAUCCGGAAUUACUGGGCGUAAAGCGCGGGCAGGUGGUGGCUUAAGUCAUGCGUGAAAACGCUCGGCUCAACCGGGCGAGGCCGUGUGAAACUGGGUCACUGGAGGCAGGUAGAGGCAGACGGAAUUCCGGGUGGAGUGGUGAAAUGCGUAGAGAUCCGGAGGAACACCAGUGGCGAAGGCGGUCUGCUGGGCCUGUCCUGACACUCAGCCGCGACAGCAUGGGGAGCGAACGGG